RNAcentral lists this ribosomal RNA (515 nucleotides) under uncultured bacterium. RNAcentral's name for it is "partial 16S ribosomal RNA". It matches the Rfam family "Bacterial small subunit ribosomal RNA", at positions 28 to 523 of the family's 1533-position model. The record is from RNAcentral.
GACGAACGCUGGCGGCGUGCCUAAUACAUGCAAGUCGAACGGGGAAGUCCCUUCGGGGAUUGUACUAGUGGCGUACGGGUGAGUAACGCGUGGAUAAUCUUCCUCUAGGUGGGGAAUAACCAGUCGAAAGAUUGGCUAAUACCGCAUAAGACCACGGGGUCCUCGGGCUCUGAGGGAAAAGACGGCCUCUGCAUAUGCUGUCACUGAAAGAUGAGUCUGCGUCCCAUCAGCUAGUUGGUGAGGUAAUGGCUCACCAAGGCUAAGACGGGUAGCUGGUCUGAGAGGAUGAUCAGCCACACUGGCACUGGAACACGGGCCAGACUCCUACGGGAGGCAGCAGUGGGGAAUAUUGGGCAAUGGGCGGAAGCCUGACCCAGCCACGCCGCGUGAGUGAUGAAGGCCUUCGGGUUGUAAAGCUCUGUGGGAAGGGGAGAAAAACUGCAACCUAAUACGUUGCAGGUUGACGGUACCUUCUUAGCAAGCACCGGCUAACUCUGUGCCAGCCGCCGCGGUAA